UAUGUGUUCCUGCUUCUAAUGUGAGAACCAUCCAUCCAUCCUCUUUAUUUCCAUGAAACUGGGUGCAUCACUGAGAACUCUACCAACUAAAAGCAGUAUAAAUAUUAAUGAUUUCUUCUUUGAAGCAGUUAUUGAAAGCCAGCCUAUCAAACCAUUGAAUUCCUUGGAAAGGACAUUAUCUGUGGAUACCCAAGCUUUGAAAUCCAACUCUUCAAGCAAUUUUUGACUCAGGCCCUCAUGUUGCCUCAAGCAAAAUAAAGGUGAAGGUCACCUGCUUGAACAGUCCAGCUGUUACCUGAUCUGCUGCGGAGACGGUUUCCGGCACAGCACUUCAGAGGUGACCCACAGCUGGGAUCUCAGAGUAGAGCCGGUGGUAGGUGCCUGUACCUCCAACCUCUGCUGGACUUGGAGCCCUCUGCUCUGUGUGGUGUCCUCGUUCUGACGAAAGGGCAGGCUCAGCUCUCCCUUUUCAGGCUCUGGUGGGAGGUGAAGCUAAUAGGUGGGAAACUUAUUUCAGAAAGCAGAGGGAGGCGAAAGUGGAGGGAGUCAGCCUUUAAGUAACGACAACCCGGUCAGUCUGAAGCGUCAACCCAGCACUGCCCUCUGUUUCAGCAGGAAGAGAAAUGCUGAGUAGCUGUCGUCUGUCCUGUCCAAGGUCCCUAGAGGUCCCUGCUCUUGGACUGUGAUGUACAAAUCCUUUCCCUGCGAGUGAGCCCUCUCUCCUCUCUCUCUAUGAAUUAAGCAGCUGUUGUUGUGUCUACUGGGUAAGGCACAAUAUAGAAGGAAGAGCUUCUGUUUCAUCCUCACCUGUGAAGGAUUUCUGCCACCAGGCAGGGUUCGUGGCUGCAGAGUCUCUCACGACUUAACCUCGAGCUCAGUAGAUGGGAGCUGCAGAACAACAGCAGGCCUUGGACAUCCACGUUCAGCCUGUGGGUCCUUCCUCCAUGCAUGCCCCUGAACGUGUGCUGCCUGGUUCCAUGCCAUCGCUCUGCCUUGCCUGUGUGUGGCUGUGAACUCCUGGGAGGGCAAGAGACUAACUUUCAUGAACUCAUUGAAGAUGGUUAAGACAAGAAAUUUUAAAUGAACAAAACAUGCUAUUGUCAAGAGCUGGAGAAAUUGCUGUUUUAAGAGGAAGUUUCACAAAGCAACACAACAGCAUAGAACCGUUGAAUGAGUCGGGAAGGCUCUGGGUCAGGUGAGAGGAAAUAUGAUUAUAAAAUCGGUUCCCUUGGGGCUCUGAAAUACCAUUUCUGAGCCUUGCUCACUGCUCUUAGUAAGACAGACUUGAUAUCUUUUCUCCGCUGUAUCUCUGGAAGACAAGAGCAUAAAUUGCAUAACGUGUGUGAAAACAAUCUGAUCUCCUUGGAAGAUGGGAUGACAGCCACAAGGUGUGGGGUUAUGAUUUUCUUUCUGGAACUUGGCUCUCAAAAUAAUGGCCCAAGUAGCAUCAUUGGAAGGAAAAUAUUUUAUUCAUCAUGAUCUUUUAAUUGCAGGAACUCAAUGUGAUAUAACAUAUUGGCUCAGAAGUCCAAUACAAAUGGGAUCAGAUGCUUCUUAAAUUAAGGCGAAUGCUUUACUGUAUUAGUCAGGAGGGCUAAGCUAGUGCUGCGUAACAAGCAACUCCAAGAUAUCAGUGACAUAACUCCUUAAAUUAUUCCUCAAGAAUGCAAAAGCAGGUGGAGUCCAGAUACUUAAUUCUCUGCCAGUGCAGUGAUCCAGCAGCCUGUGCCCCCUCAGUCUUGUGACUCCCCCAUCACAGCCGGAGGUCUUCUCCAUAACUGCUGUUCAGAGGGAAGAGAGACUCAUUCCACUGUCCCAGCCUGGAAGUGUUGCAUCCUGUUCCCUUACCCAUCAGCUGCUGUUCAUCAGCACCAUAUACACACACCACUCGGGAGUGUAGUCUCCCCGGCACCCAUCAGGGAAAGGAGAAUGGGCACUGGGAAGAGAAUAAUGUCUACCAUACUAAUAUAAUUACAAAUACUGCUGAUUGCCAUUCUCUCGAUCCUAAGGUGUAACUUAAGAGGACAGUAACCCACACUAGUAACUGCUGUUGGAGAACCCAGAGACUACAACCAAGAAGAAGUCAGUAACAGCAAGUCUCAGACAUUUACUUGCUAUCUUUCACAUACAACUUUGUUUCUAUGGCUGAAUUAAGUAAUCAAUGGCAGGAUUAUUCCUUGGAAUAAAUAAAGCGAAUAGGUUUAUUUGCAUAAAACUUUUCAGACCCUUUAACAUAAUAUGAACAUUGUGAAUCUUACCCUCAGAAUAUUAAAAAAAAUACUUUUGAACAUAGGGAGCAUGACUGU
This is a long non-coding RNA of Fukomys damarensis (Damara mole-rat), 2306 nucleotides long. RefSeq lists it as uncharacterized. The record is from RefSeq and is a predicted model, not a curated record. The transcript has 5 exons. Lineage: Eukaryota; Metazoa; Chordata; Mammalia; Rodentia; Bathyergidae.